GAGAGAAAAUAAAAGAACCAUUUUCGAUUUCUUUUUUUAUUGAACUAAUCUCAUCUACUGACACUUUCUUAUAUAGAUCUCUAAUAUUAUCUGCUGACGAUCUCUUAAUAAAUAGAUCUCCUAAAUAGCAUAACAAAAGAUCAAUACUUUUUAAUAGAGAACCCCGAUCCAGAACUAUGGAAUUGGGGUUUGUUUCAUCAAGUAGAAAGUGCAUAUCUUCUCUAUCGAGAUAUUUAUUCGUAUUACUACCGCUACCCGCAAAUCCACGUAAUGAACAACUAAAACAGGUAAAUCCAGGUAAUGAACAACUAAGACCGGUAAAUCCAGGUAAUGAACAGGUAAAUCCAGGUAAUGAACAACUAAGACCGGUAAAUCCAGGUAAUGAACAACUAAGACCAGCUAAAACCCGUACUGAACGACGAGCAAGAUUAAAUGUGAGUUUAGUACGUAUUUAGGAGACAACAUAGGUUUAAUUACUGUUUGUAUACGAAUACUAGGUGUAUCGCUUAGACUGCAUAACUCAUAAGUGAGAUGGAUUGAGUGAUACGAACACCCUCACCAUCUCACCACCCUGGCGGCUAUUACCGUGGUAGGGAUUUCCCCCUACCUUUAACUCCCCCAUAGAAAUAAGCGGUUAAAAUCUGACCAUUACACUACCUACAAAUGAGGCGUGUAACUUACCUACUUGGGAGAGACAAGCCUCUAAUCUGGAUUUCACCAGGGUUAGUAGAGAUAAAUGAACCCAUACCCAAGGGGGUCCGGGUUUUAUCUCUAUAGGCUCUCCAAUAGAGUAUACAUAUUUUUUCUUACUCUUAUUCUUUCUUUUUAGAAUAAAAUAUAGGAAGGAGAUUUUACUUCUUAGAAGGAGAUGACUAGAUCUUUGUAUUUACUGGUCUCGAUAAUUGAAGAGAGGAAAGAGACAGAGGAGUACGCGAAAGGACACUGUGAAGGAGAUUGAUCCUAGCUCCUUCUUUCAUACCAGGAAAGAGAAGAGGGGAUGCUUGCUAUCAUUCCAGUGCCAACUGUCCAA
RNAcentral lists this long non-coding RNA (1030 nucleotides) under Fragaria vesca (wild strawberry). RNAcentral describes it as "long non-coding RNA (FVES_LNC004395)". Lineage: Eukaryota; Viridiplantae; Streptophyta; Magnoliopsida; Rosales; Rosaceae. The record is from RNAcentral.